Long non-coding RNA from Planococcus citri (citrus mealybug), 678 nucleotides. RefSeq lists it as uncharacterized. The record is from RefSeq and is a predicted model, not a curated record. The transcript has 3 exons. Lineage: Eukaryota; Metazoa; Arthropoda; Insecta; Hemiptera; Pseudococcidae.
UCUUGUAAAUAUAUUCAUAAGUUGGUUUUUAGCUUGUGUACAUGUGCCUAGUGCUAUUAAAUAGGUAGUUAUACUUAUGCAUCUAGAUUAGUAGUGCAUGUAAUAAGUAGAUACAUAAUUAUAAAGUAGUCCUGAAUACAGCAAUUUUUUUUUAUUCGUUUUUUUCUUGUUCAAAUCAAACAUAAACAAUGAAUUCUGACAAGAAUAGAGAUUUCAUCAGGGAACUGAGUGAAAUAUCAUAUGAACUUGCACAAGCGAACAGAUGUCAAGAUAUGAGAUGCCCACACCUAUUUUGUGUACGAAGAAAAGGACAAAUAUUUCAUUGGAGAAACUGCCAAAGGGGAGUGGUGGGAUCCUGCAAAGAUUGCCAGAGCAUGAGAGCUUUUCUCACGGUGCAUGCCAGAUAUUGUGAUAAACCUAUAGACUCAUGCCAGGUUCCAGAUUGCGCGAUCAGUAAACGGAGUCUUAAACCAAUUGCAGCAUAAAUCACAUCUUCAUCUUAUUAGGUGUAGCUUUUCAUAUCACCUACUUUGGAAAUCAAGGAAACAAAUCAAAUACUUUUGUGAAGGCUGACAGUGAACUCAUAUUUUUAAUUAAACCAACUACCUAUUUUUAAUUCAAUUUAUAUUUUUCUCAAAAUACCUAAUUAUGUAUGUACAUUUAUAAUACAGUAUAUUU